UUUAAAUGGGAGCAGAUGCCUCUGUUUCUUGAGCUGACUUCCAGAUUCUGAGAAAUAAAUGAAGAGUGGAGGCUUGUUUUGGUAGAGGCUGAGAAAAGGAGUUGGCCAUAUUUGCCCUUCAGAACUUCGUGUCAUCCCCCAGCUCCCCAACGGCAGGGCCACAUUCUUUCACAGGACGGAGUUGGGGCAGAUUAUGGCUUCCUCUGGAUUGGAUUUCCCUUGGCUUCCCUGAGGGCAAUCCCCCGAGGAAGCACAUCCUGGAGCCAAACUCACCCAAUGAACCACAGCAACAGCUCCUAGGAGAAUGAAGAGUGUGAAUGGAUGGCCUUUUCAAAAUGAUGAGCCUGGAAGAGUUACAGACUCUGGCCCGAAAGAACCAAAGUUGAAGGUAGAGAUGUUUUAAGGAUGAGCAGAGCAGAACAACUUAGCAGUGGGAUGUUAAAGGCAACAUGAAUCAAACAUGGUAAUUAGAAACCAGGAAGACUGAGAAGGAAUCAAAUUUGCAGCAGCUCAGUAAGUGGUAGACUGGGAACAAGAAGCCAGUUCUCUGGGCUCUUGAAGCAAGGCCCUGCCACGUUGUCUUUCCCCAGGAGAGGAGGAAACUGGGGAGGGAAUCAUGUUCCAGCAGUGAAGAACAAAGGCAGUUUUUUGGGGAUUUACAUACGCCAUCUCCUACAAAGUUAAAAAAUUUUCUUUUCCUGAA
This 703-nucleotide long non-coding RNA is filed under the name Homo sapiens (human). Its description in RNAcentral is "non-protein coding lnc-HDAC2-4:2". Lineage: Eukaryota; Metazoa; Chordata; Mammalia; Primates; Hominidae. The record is from RNAcentral.